CCCUUAGAUGUUCUGGGCCGCACGCGCGCUACACUGAUGCAUUCAACGAGUCUAAAACCUGGUCUGAUAGGGCUGGGUAAUCUUUUGAAAGUGCAUCGUGAUUGGGAUAGAUGAUUGCAAUUCUUCAUCUUCAACGAGGAAUGCCUAGUAAACGCAAGUCAUCAGCUUGCAUUGAUUACGUCCCUGCCCUUUGUACACACCGCCCGUCGCUCCUACCGAUUGAAUGAUCCGAUGAAUACCAUGGAUUGCGAGUACGAAUGGGUUCGCUCAUUUCUGCUGCUCGAGAAGUGGAGUAAAUCUUAUCAUUUAGAGGAAGGAGAAGUCGUAACA
This 330-nucleotide ribosomal RNA is filed under the name uncultured eukaryote. RNAcentral's name for it is "partial 18S ribosomal RNA". It matches the Rfam family "Eukaryotic small subunit ribosomal RNA", at positions 1470 to 1796 of the family's 1831-position model. The record is from RNAcentral.